RNAcentral lists this ribosomal RNA (348 nucleotides) under Putoniessa rivularis. Its description in RNAcentral is "partial 12S ribosomal RNA". The record is from RNAcentral. Lineage: Eukaryota; Metazoa; Arthropoda; Insecta; Hemiptera; Cicadellidae.
AUACCCUAUUAUUUAUAAAUUAAUUUUAAAACCAGAUGAUUAAUUCAAAGAAUUUGGCGGUUGAUAAAACAAUUUAGAGGAACCUGUUCUAUAAUUGAUAAACCACGAUAAUUUCAACCUUUAUAAAUCUUAUAUACCUCUAUAAAAAGAAUAUUUCAUUAAGAAAUAUAUUCAAUUUUUUUUUGAAAGCAAAUUAGGUCAAGGUGUAGAUUAUAUAAAGGAAGAAAUGGGUUACUUUAAAAAUUUAUAAAAAUGAAGACAGUAAUAUAAGUUACUAAACAAAAAAGGAUUUAAUAGUAAUUUUAAUUAAUUUAAUAAAAUGAAAAUGAACUAAUCAAUGUACACAUC